GUGCCAGCCGCCGCGGUAAUACAGAGGGUGCAAGCGUUAAUCGGAUUUACUGGGCGUAAAGCGUGAGUAGGUGGCUCGCUAAGUCGGUUGUGAAAGCCCUGGGCUCAACCUGGGAAUUGCAGUCGAUACUGACGAGCUAGAGUUCGGUAGAGGGUGGCGGAAUUCCCGGUGUAGCGGUGAAAUGCGUAGAUAUCGGGAGGAACAUCGAUGGCGAAGGCAACCACCUGGGCCUGAACUGACACUGAGACACGAAAGCGUGGGUAGCAAACAGGAUUAGAUACCCUCGUAGUCC
Molecule: ribosomal RNA, 292 nt
Filed under: uncultured bacterium
Lineage: Bacteria
Description: partial 16S ribosomal RNA
Rfam family: Bacterial small subunit ribosomal RNA
Source: RNAcentral